Lacerta agilis (Sand lizard) is the source of this 416-nucleotide long non-coding RNA. RefSeq lists it as uncharacterized. The transcript is spliced from 3 exons. The record is from RefSeq and is a predicted model, not a curated record. NCBI's taxonomy places the organism in Eukaryota, Metazoa, Chordata, Lepidosauria, Squamata, Lacertidae.
CUCGCGCCUGCGCUGUGCAGGCGGCGGAGGCCGUUGGCAUCACGUGCUCGGUCGCUCGAGCCAUCCGGGGUUGACAGACUUGGCUGGAAGGGAAAGGCGCGCCUUCAAUCUCUGGACCUAGCCUAUUAUUCAUCAUCAAGAAGUGUUCCAGUAAGAACUUCUAUCAGGUUAAUCUGUAAGCAUUAUCAACAUGACCAUCACAACAAUAAUCAAAACAGAGCUACAAGUGAAUUGUGUGUUCCUGGAGCUCCAACCUGACCUGCAAAGUCCAUCCAGACCCCACAGAUAAUCAUGGACACAAGAGCAAAACCUGUUUGGUGAGUCCUCCCAGCAGAGUUUAUGUUAAGGUUAUGUUUUUAUUAUGACCUUUUUGUAUUGGAUCAGAUUACUGUAAGGUGUGUGAUCUUUGUUGUAUA